Molecule: long non-coding RNA, 883 nt
Organism: Bombyx mandarina (wild silkworm)
Lineage: Eukaryota; Metazoa; Arthropoda; Insecta; Lepidoptera; Bombycidae
Gene: Doa
Source: RefSeq, a predicted model, not a curated record
AUAUAUUUUUUUUAAUUUAAAUAAUUUAGAAACCGUAAGUUACAUAAACCAAUGAAAAAAAUAUUUGUUUUAUUGUAACAACGGUAUUGUUUCCUCAUUACAUAAAAUGUUGACCAUUCACGAGGCCUUACUAUAGCAAAAAAAUAUUCAUUUGCUUAUCUUAACAAGACAUACUACAAGUUCGAAUACAUUUUAUCGUGACAUUCAAACAUAUUCACCCCUGACGCCGCACGUAUCCACUUUGUUUGAUUUUUUGUUAAAUUAAAAUACAAAACUACAUAGUUUAUAUAAUAUAAAAGAAUAAAUACUUAAUCAAUGUUAUUGUAUGGAUAAUCACCGAUACUUUUUGUUUCGAGAAUGUUUCUUUACGGCUUCAUGUACUAGUGUACUUGUAAAUCGUAAUAAGACUACUGCUAUCCAUAUCAUUUGCUGACAAAACGUUCAAAUUAAAUUACGAAUACUUUUGAAAACGUUUUCGGAGUUAAUUAAUAAAUUUCAGAAUUACCAAUGUGAUAAAGAUGUUUAUAAUUUUAAUAAUGAUAAUAUCAUGUCGACCCAUUAUAAAAUUUCUACGGAAUCCGAAUGAGGGCACACUGUGUACAUUGCGCACUUGUAAGAAUUACGUUGAAUGAAAAUCUUUUGUUAUAGGACACCCGUUUACAAGGCCAUCAUUCCUUAGGCAAUGAACGCGCGCGGUCGCACUCGUUGAGUCGGUGAGGGGGCCCGACGACGUCUUGUGAAUACUUUGUACAUAUAAUAAUGAACUAUAAGUGAUAAAUAUUUUGUCGUACGCUCUAAUUAUAGGAAUAUUUUGUUGUGAAUCGGUACUUCUCAAUUUGUAUUUAUAAAUAAUUAUUUCAAAAUAAAGACUUGUCAGUCUUGA